Molecule: ribosomal RNA, 459 nt
Filed under: uncultured bacterium
Lineage: Bacteria
Description: partial 16S ribosomal RNA
Rfam family: Bacterial small subunit ribosomal RNA
Source: RNAcentral
CCUACGUGAGGCAGCAGUGAGGAAUAUUGGUCAAUGGCCGGAAGGCUGAACCAGCCAAGCCGCGUGAAGGACGAAGGUGCCAAGCAUUGUAAACUUCUUUUGUCAAGGGACAAAAUCAGGCUCGAGAGCCUGACCGAGGGUACUUGAAGAAACAGCAUCGGCUAACUCCGUGCCAGCAGCCGCGGUAAUACGGAGGAUGCGAGCGUUAUCCGGAUUUAUUGGGUUGAAAGGGUGAGUAGGCGGCGUGUUAAGUCAGCGGGAAAAGCCCGGGGCGCAACCCCGGCGAGCCUGUGAAACGGGCUGUCUUGAGAUGUCGAAGGGUAUGCGGAAUGCGCAGUGUAGUGGUGAAAUGCUUAGAUAUUGCGCAGAACUCCGAUUGCGAAGGCAGAAUACCGGCGGCGAUCUGACGCUGAGGCACGAAAGCGUGGGUAUCGAACAGGAUUAGAUACCCCAGUAGUC